UACGGGGGGGGCAAGCGUUGUUCGGAAUUACUGGGCGUAAAGGGUUCGUAGGUGGCCAACUAAGUCAGACGUGAAAUCCCUCAGCUUAACUGGGGAACUGCGUCUGAGACUGGAUGGCUUGAGUGCAGGAGAGGAACGCGGAAUUCCAGGUGUAGCGGUGAAAUGCGUAGAUAUCUGGAGGAACACCGGUGGCGAAGGCGGCGUUCUGGACUGCAACUGACACUGAGGCACGAAAGCUAGGGGAGCAAACAGG
This 253-nucleotide ribosomal RNA is filed under the name uncultured bacterium. RNAcentral describes it as "partial 16S ribosomal RNA". It matches the Rfam family "Bacterial small subunit ribosomal RNA", at positions 524 to 776 of the family's 1533-position model. The record is from RNAcentral.